RNAcentral lists this small RNA (168 nucleotides) under Chrysemys picta bellii (western painted turtle). RNAcentral's name for it is "TUC338 (ENSCPBG00000007180.1)". Lineage: Eukaryota; Metazoa; Chordata; Testudines; Emydidae. The record is from RNAcentral.
UUGACAGCCCUGGAGACAGAAGUCCUGUAUUUAUCUACAGACAAUUAACAGAAUGGGUGACAACAGUAAACUUUCCCCAAAGUAUCAUAAUCAUGAUAUGGAUAGCAGGACUACCUCCUGAGGCGGGAAUAUAGGUUAGUCUCCAGGCCCAAUCAAUGCUUGGCCAUU